RNAcentral lists this ribosomal RNA (1089 nucleotides) under Triticum aestivum (bread wheat). RNAcentral's name for it is "partial small subunit ribosomal RNA". Lineage: Eukaryota; Viridiplantae; Streptophyta; Magnoliopsida; Poales; Poaceae. The record is from RNAcentral.
AUGAGGGUGAAGGUUUAGGAGGAUGACACAUGUAUGGUAGUGGACAUUGAGUACAAUCAUAAUCACCACCUCGCAACUGAUGACAUGCUGGUAUUCUUGCACUCACACAAGAAUUAUGACCCUACUAUUUUGGAGUACAUAAAGCUCCUGCAGUACCAUGAUGUCAAGCACACAACAAUCAUGUCCAUGAUAUCUAAAAAUGAAGAUGGAAGCUACUUCCUAAGCAUGAUCGGACGGGACCUACUAAACCAGAAAGCCAUGAAUGCAUGGAGAGAUGAUUUGGAUGAUGUAUUGAAACUUGUAUCUUUAUUUAAAGACAUGAAGGCAAACAAUGAUGAGUUUUUCUAUGACAUACACUCCAAUGCAAGCUGCCGAGGAGCGUAUCAAGACUUUGGCGAUUGCGUAACAUUCGACACAACUUACAAGACCAAUAGAUUUCAUAUGCCUCUGGGAGUGUUUGUUGGAACAAACCAUCACUUGCAGUCAACGAUAUUUUCUGUUGCCUUGAUCAGAGACGAAGAUGCAAAGUCAUUCAAGUGGCUGUUUGAUACAUUUGUACGGUGCAUGAACAACAAACACCCAACUUGCAUUGUAACAGACCAGUGCCUGUCAAUGGCAAAAGCUAUACCACAAUCAUUCCCAAAUACCGUCCACAAGCUAUGUCGUCGGCACAUCCUGAAGAAGUACAAGGAAUACCUCGCGUUUCUCUACAAAUAUAAAACAUUCAAAGAGGAGUUCACAACAAUCUUAAACUGGCCGCUAAUGCCAACGGAGUUUGAAGCUGCCUGGGAUGCACUCGUGCAAAAGUACAACCUGCACAACGACCAGAUGAUGAUGCAGCUGUGGAGUGAUAGGAAAAUGUGGAUAUCAGCAUAUUACAAGAACAUUUUCUGUGCUAGAAUGACUUCCACACAACGAAGCGAGAGCAUGAAUCACGUGCUCAAGAGAGGGUUUGUCAAGGGGACCCAAAACCUACACAAGUUUGCUAGGAGGGUAAAUGCUUGCAUACAAACUCGGAUGCAGAAGGAGAACGAGCAAACAAUGACCAGCAUGGUAUUGAGACAAAAAAACACCACCAUUAUAUUGUGA